ACUACUUUUAUUUUGACAUACAACCACAACGUGAACCAGAAUAAAAGAGCACUAGAUCCAAGACGGUUGUGUUUCUGUCAACAGGACGAAAAGUGUCAUCAUCUCUUGUUUAGUAUUAUAAGCUGUCGACUUCAAGAAAUCAAUGGCUCAGAAUAUCAAGCGAAUUGGUAUCUGUUUGAGUGGUGUGAAGAAGAUGGUUAUUGGAGGACGCCAGGGCCAAUUAGGUUUGGCACGAGCAGCGACAUCUGCUGCUAAAACUGAUGCAGCGUCUGCAACCGUAAGCUAUGGUGAACGAACUUACCUAUCAG
Molecule: long non-coding RNA, 308 nt
Organism: Limulus polyphemus (Atlantic horseshoe crab)
Lineage: Eukaryota; Metazoa; Arthropoda; Merostomata; Xiphosura; Limulidae
Exons: 4
Source: RefSeq, a predicted model, not a curated record